This is a long non-coding RNA of Spinacia oleracea (spinach), 5236 nucleotides long. RefSeq lists it as uncharacterized. NCBI's taxonomy places the organism in Eukaryota, Viridiplantae, Streptophyta, Magnoliopsida, Caryophyllales, Amaranthaceae. The record is from RefSeq and is a predicted model, not a curated record. The transcript has 2 exons.
CCACCCUGCUAUUUUAUCCUACACCACACCAAUACCUCACAUCACCCCUCCUUGUUGAGUGCCUUUCCUCCGCGACCCAGCAGCACCCUGCUCCUCAACACCCAAGUCAGCCACCAUCUCUCACCACAACAGUACUAAACACCAAAUCGAACACACACAACAACUCCAAGCUACACUCCUCGCUGCUCAUCCACAACGUACUAACCAACACCAACACCUGCAACCCGUAACUCCUCCCCUACACCAAUUCUCACCACCAACAACACAAUAAAAAACCCAAAAUAACAAUCAAAAUCAAGCCAAGAACAGAGAAAAACAGGGCACAUUGGUUCGUUCGAACCAUAAAUUGGUUCUGCCGAACCCGAAAUUUAGAAAAGUUUCUGCAAGUCUGAGAUCCGGCCGAACAUUCCUUGAGUUCGCCCAAACUAGAAACGGGUUCGCCUGAACCUAUAUUUAGUUCGAUCGAACUUUUGAGCGCGAAUGGUUGUACGGAUUAAUGAAAACUCGUGGUUGUCACGUGGUUGUUGCCUUUAUGGUUGUUGCUAGCCCUGAACAUUGCCACCGUACGGUUCGAAUUUGAAGGUUGCGAUUGGUUUGAUUGACGAUUAUUGGGCAACGAUUUGGGCCAUUGGACGAUUAUGAUUGCUGAUGAUGUUGAUCGAUGAUUGAUGAAGGUGGUGAUGGACCGUUGAUGAUGGACGAUUGAAUUCGACGGUGAUGGGUUGAGGAGGGACGAUGAUUGAUGGUGGAUGAUGGGUGAUGAACGACGGAGGUUGGGAUGAAAGAGGAGCGAAAGGGACAAAGAAGGAGAUGGGAGGCAGCGAACGAAAAGGAAGGACAGGGGGGUUCUGAUUAGUUUUGUUUUGAUUUAUUUUUAUUUUUAUUUUAUUUUUCUUUCUUUUCUAUUGCCCUUCUUAUCUUUUCUCUUUCUUGUUUUAAUUUACUUUUCCUAAUUUCUUUUCUCUCCCUUCUGAUUUCCUUUUCAUUUUUUGUUUUGUUUCCAUUUUUUUUCCUCUUUAUUUCAUUUCAUUUCCUUUUUAUUUUAUUUCAUUCCUUUUUCUUUUUUUUUCUUCUUUUAUUUCUUUUCUUUUAACUUGUAGUAUAAAUACCCAAUAUUUGGGUCAUGACAAGGUAUGUAAAUAAUUUAGUUUAGCUCUCUCAUUAUUAGGGUUCUUCAUUAGUUUAGUUAAGAGAGAGAAAGUGAGGAAAAAUCAAUGAAAAUGGAGGAUUAUGGAUAAUACAAGAAGAUUUAAAGCAUUCCUUCAUCAAUCAAUGAGAAUUCUCUACUCUCUCUCCUUAUUUAUUGCUUAUUUAUUACUUUAUUUAUCGUUUUAAUUAGUUUAAUUGUUUUUGUUUAGUUUAAUGAUUCAUGUUUAGAUUAGUUGUUAUUAUUGUUGUUUAGAAUCAUGUUUUUAGUUGUUAAUUUCUAUAAAUUUUGUGUUUUUAUGAUUAUGGAGUAGUUUAUUGAUUAGGGUAUGGUGAAAACUCAACAUUGAUUGGUUUGGGUGUUCGUGAUUGGAAAUUAAGGAAUUUCAUGAUUAAAUUAUUACAUGUUUAGGCAUUUCCAAUACAUGUUGCAUUUAACUUGAUCAAUUAAGUGUUCCAUGAUUGCUUGGAGUAGUUUAGUUGGGUUGGAAAGGGAUUAAGACCUAAACUUGACUAUGUGGUUGAAUUGGGAUUUUGAUUUACCCCGGGUAUGAUAGGGUAGAACGGGAGUUCUUCCUUGAUGCUUAAGGAAAUUGUUCGCGCAUCGGGAGAUGGUUGGAACUAUUUGUGAAUUCAAUGCUUAUCAUGUAGUGCUUGUGAAUCUUCCCCGUUUUCAAUUCUUUUAUGUCCAUCCCGUGAUUUGUUGUUGUUUGACCCAUUCCCUAAUCUCGUUUACUUUUGAUUUUUUAGUUUAAUUUAAUUAGUUUUAUUCGAUUAGUGAUUUUCCAAAACCCCAUUCCGACCUAGCUUAUCGAUUGAUUAGCAUAAACUAGCGCACCUUAGUCCUUGUGGAUUCUGACCCUUGCUUACCGCUUUACUUGUGUUUAGUGGUUAGUUUAUGUAAUUUGUUUGAUUAGGAGAGACUAGUAACGACCUAGUUUUCCCCUCGAUCAACUUUGGUACAACAUUGAAAAUGACUACAACGUUCCAUCCAGCCACAGAUGGAUAAACUGAGAGAACCAUUCAGACACUUGAGAAUAUGCUUCGUGCAUGUGUAAUUGAUUUCCAAGGAAGUUGGGAAGAUAACUUAGAUUUGAUUGAGUUUUCAUAUAACAAUAGCUAUCAUGCCAGAAUAGGAAUUGCACCAUUUGAGGCCUUGUAUGAAAGGAAAUGUAGAAGUCCACUAUGUUGGAGCGACAUUAGUGAGACAGUUGUGUUAGGACCUCAAAUGAUAGAGGACACCAUGAACCAAAUUAGGACUAUUCAAUCCAAAAUUCAAGCAGCGCAAGAUCGCCAAAGGAGCUACGCGGACUUGAAACGUAGGGAUGAAGAAUUCCAAGUGGGUGACAAGGUGUUACUCAAAGUUUCACCAAUGAAAGGUGUGAUAAGAUUUGGAAAGAAGGGAAAGUUAAGCCCAAAGUACAUAGGUCCUUAUGAGAUCCUAGAACGAAUAGGAAAGGUAGAUUAUAGACUAGCCUUACCUAUGGACUUGCAUAUAGUGCAUAAUGUGUUCCACAACUCUCAAUUGAGGAAGUAUGUCCCGGAUAAGUCGCAUGUGUUGCAACCGAAAAUCAUUGAAAUAGACCAAAGUUUCUCUUUUGAGGAAAGACCAGUCAAAAUCAUAGAUAGUAAAGUUCGUAGUACACGAACCAAGGAUGUUAAGAUUAGGUGUUAUGGUCUAACCAAGAAUCGGAGGAAGCAACCUGAGAAGUCAAGGACGAAAUGAAAAAGAAAUAUCCAGAGAUGUUUCCCGAGUUUAAUUGAGUUAUGGGGUCGUAACUCGUGUCUUUUAAGGGGGUAGAGUGCGGUGGAAUUUCGCGCUUUAUACCUUAUUUCCUCUUAUUUUAUGCCUGAUAGUGCUUUUUGUUAAAUUUGCACCCCAAGUUAUCAUGUAUAAUCAUUUAAAGAGUACAACAACUUAUUAUUUUUGGUAAUAAGUAAUCAAUAAAGUCUCAAGUUUUGAGCUUCAAGUUUGAGUUAUCUUGCCCAAGUUUUGGGAUGAAACUUCUUUUAAGGAGGGUAGAUUCUCGCAUUUUUGAAGUAAAUAUAAAUAUAUUUUAUUAUAUUUAUUAAGAAUUUUUGGAUUUUGUGAAUUUAAUCGCAUUUAAAUAAGCUAUUUAAAUGUAUUUAAUUAAUUAAAAUAAUUUAUUAUUUUAAUUAAUUAUAAAGAAAAUUUAGUUUUCAAGUUGAGUAUUUAUUUGGGUUUUGAAAUUAAAACGAUUUGAAGAAUUCAAGAAGCAUAUUAAAACUCAACUCAAAGCACAAUCCAAAAGCCCAACUCAAAUUGUAGGAAAUUCCAAGGAAACUUCCUCAAACUCAAGGACACCUCACCCAAGAUUAAGGAAACCCAACUUUGGUUAAAUGAAACUUCUAGAAAUUUCCUUAACCCCAAUCCUCAUAGAUUCUCACUCUAUAAAUACGAAACCCCUCAUUUUCCCACACAUUUUGAGAACUCUUUCUCUCUCUUCUACUUUCUUUCUUCCCUUCCAAGUUUUCUUCCUUUAUUUAUCUCUCUUUUUCUUUUGGUCUUGUGUGCGUGCCCAGCUCGAGCUACGCUUAGCUCUUCGACGCUGCGUGCCUCGCCGUGUGCGUGUGUUUCCCGUCCCCGCGCAUAACACUCUCUUCCCCGCGCUAAGCGCUGCGCAUAACCUUCCCCUCGUGCGCCCUGCUGUUGCCGCAAGCAAGCCGAAGCUUGCUGCCUUGCUCGUGCACUCCAUCAUUCGUAUUUCUUUCCAAUUUGCGCCCGAUUACCUCAAAAUAGGAAUCCCAUACCGUACUAUAGGUCGAUUUGGUAUAUUUCUCUUCUUCCUAACCUUCUCUAGUUUAAAGCUUGAAUCUUUAUUAUGUUUUGAUGAUGUAUUGUGUUUAUUAUUGUUGGGAUUGGUUAUGAACACCAAAGUUGAGGAUUUUGAUGAUUAAAAUGUUGAGGAUUAUUUUUUUUUAAAGAGUAGUAAUUUUCAUAUUUGUUUUUGAGAUAAAGUUUCAAUCUUUAUGGAUUUUUAAUGAAUUUAAUGAUGAUUUAAAGUUAGGGUUUUCCCCUAAACCUUAUGGCUAAUUGAUUAACUUAAUUAGAUGACAAUUUUAUUUAUGGUAAUUAAUUAUAAUUUUCAGAUUUGUUUUGAGACAUAAAGUGUCAAUUUUUAAUGGUUUUGAGCAUGAAAUUAGUCAAAGUUCAUGCUAAGGUUUUAAGGGAUUAAUUGGAACUAUUAUUUUAUCAAUUAACGAUUAAUUUUUAAUUAAUUCAAGUGUUUUAAAACUUAAUAAAGUUGCUGGAAAGUUAAUGAACAUGGAUAAUAAUUAAGUUUCAUCAUCUUAAUGAUAGGAGGAGAUUUCUAGAGUAGUAGCUUGAAUCGCAAAGUGGCCCCCGUUCUUAGAACUUCAAGGUUUCGCUGAUUACGUGCUUUGUGUUUGGUCAUGGCCUAUGCCUUAAUGACCCUAUGAUGAUCCUUCAAUUGUAUUCGCAUUGUCUGGGAGUAGAAAUUUGAUAACAGGUUGGUAGAGAUGACUUGCAAGAGAAGUUAUCUUGCAUGGGGCUGGUUGAGCGAGUUUCUUUUUCUCUUGCACAGUUUCAAACUCUAUUUAUUUUCAUUUGCCUAGACUAUAAUGUUUUAAUUAGUUAUUGGAUUUGGUUUUAUGGUAUUUGGUUUGGGCCGUGAUGGUUCCAACUUUUAUGGAGACCGUUAAAUAUCUUUUAUUGUUUUCAAAGUUUGGAAUGAAACAUGUUAGUAUAGGAUUUCAUUCUAACUUGUUUGUACUCAGGUUUCGCUAAUUACGUGCUUUGUGUUUGGUCAUGGCCUAUGCCUUAAUGACCGUAUGAUGAUCCUUUAAUUGUAUUCGCAUUGUCUGGGAGUAGAAAUUUGAUAACAGGUUGGUAGAGAUGACUUACAAGAGAAGUAAUCUUGCAUGGGGCUGGUUGAGCGAGUUUCUUUUUCUCUUGCACCGUUUCAAACUCUAUUUAUUUGCAUUUGCCUAUACUAUAAUGUUUUAAUUAGUUAUUGGAUUUGGUUUUACGAUAUUUGGUUUGGGCCGUGAUGGUUCCAACUUGUAUGGAGACCGUUAAAUAUCUUUUAUUGUUUUCAAAGUUUAUUUA